Molecule: long non-coding RNA, 3009 nt
Organism: Neofelis nebulosa (Clouded leopard)
Lineage: Eukaryota; Metazoa; Chordata; Mammalia; Carnivora; Felidae
Exons: 2
Source: RefSeq, a predicted model, not a curated record
GGGGGCAGUAGGCUGCUGAUGGAGCUCCGGCAUCCCUUCGGCUGGGGCCCCGGGAGGGGGAAGGGAAAAGACCGAGCAGUGGAGGGAAGAGGGAGCCAUUUCUCUCCACUGGCUGCGACCUCCGUGCUCACAGCUCACAUUUGCCCGGAAUCCAGAGGCCUCCUCGGCCGAGGACUCCAUCAUGCUGGAUAUUUUCAUCCUGAUGUUCUUUGCCAUCAUAGGCCUGGUCAUUCUGUCCUACAUUAUCUAUCUGCUCUAGCUGCGGCGGGGAACCCUCAGAACAGCUGGGGGGGGAAGGAUGGAGCUGACUGGCCGAGCAUCCUGCUUUGCUGACGCACCGGUGGAUUUUUGCUUCUGGUCGUUAUUUCGGCUCCUGGUCUCCACUCCAACCAGAGACCUCUUAGCAGCAGUCCUGCUGCCCAGCAGACCUCUUCCAGAACCUUCCGGAUAUGGCUAACCACUGUGGAGCAAGGGGCUUUUUGAGCCCAGAGGCAGAGGGGCACUCAGCCGGGACGUCAGGAAUUCGUGGGCAAGGCUGGCAGAUGCUGUGUGCGUUUGAGCUGUGGAUAGAAGGUGUUGAGGACACAGAGCUGAAAUGCAGACUCAUGAAAGUUACCACGGAGAACUGCGCACAUAUCCAUUUUGAUAGCCUCUCUCUAGGUGUAAAUGCAACUGCGUAUUAUGCUAAAGUAUGUUCUUCCCUUUCCCUCUCACACACUGGGGGGAUAGUUCAAGAGCACAUUGUCUACCCUCAUGUCUGAAGUAUUCAGUUUAUCACUGUCUUUGCAGACUGCACAGCCUGAGGUGGUGUAGUAUCCCUUGUCUCACUCUUUAGCCAGAAGGAACUCGUCAUUUGAAUUUUUAAGAUUUAUCAUAUUUUUUCCACUCCAUACCACGUGAGCCCCAGCUUCUCAUUUAAAGAGAGAAAUGGUUAUAUAGUCAUUAUUCUUUGAGACUGUCUGAAUUAUAAAUUAUUGAAAUAGGGUAGCUAUAACUCAUCUUGUUAUGUGGGAGAAACCUCUCUCUUGCUCCAAAAUAAAUGUGUUUUUUUUUUUUAUAUAUUGUCAAAUGUUCCUUUUCUGGAAAAAAGACUUUCAACAUAUUUCUUUGUCCAGUUAGGGUCGAAGAAACUAUAUAUUUUGGAACCCAGAGUAGACUUGGGCCCCAAAUCUGCGGUACCCAUUCCUUUGAAAAGUCCAUCAUGAUGGUUCUACACUGGAUUUUCCUUUCUGGCUUAAAAAUAAACAAGGAGAAAGAUUAACUUAAUAGUUUUUAUUUAUAAUAUUGUGUUCAAUUUCCGUGUUUUAAAAAAGCAGUAAAAUUGAGGCAAUACAAUAUAUGAUCCAAUAAAAAUGGAAAACUUGCAUUUUAAGAUUCUGGCCAAGAAAAAUACACUACUCCAGGAGCAUUGUCUUGGCAACAAAUUAUGUGACCUUCGAGAAGUCAUUUAACGCGCAGGGCUUUUGUUUAUUCUGACAAAUGAAAGGGUUAGACUAGAAAAUUGUUAAUGGUAAAUUUUUUAUUUCAAAUUUAUUUUUUAUUUUAUUAUUAAAUUUUCAUUUAAAAUCUUCCCUUUCCGUUUUAAACGUCUUCAAUCCUGGGAUGCAUUAGCUUUGGAAACCACACCUUUGAGAGCAGAAUUCCUAUGGAACAAACUCUUAAUAGUUCACCAGCAGUUUGCUUUCCUGCUCUCUCUAAAUGACAUUUGAUAAUGAAAUCCAACUGGAAAACCCUCUCUCUUUUUUCUUUUUUGGGCACUACCAGCUACAUUGUGAGAAGAGAAUGACAAUAUUUAUUCACUCCAAACUUGUAUCAGUGAUAAUUCGCCUAAGCUGUUUAGGGAAUGCUAACAGGUGCAAUAUACUCUAUGGUGGUAUGUGACACAAGGAGGUGAUCUGACAGAUAAGCUAGUGUAGGAAGCAUACAUACAGGGAUGAGGCUGAUCUUCAGUUAUCCGGGGAGGCCUUGACAUGACAUUUCCCACUGAAACACUCCUCUGACUCUUUGGCAUAACUUCGUGUCUCACACUAAAAUUUUUUUCUACUGUAAGGCAAGCGUCAGUAUUUGGGAGGGGGUCCAAGUUACACAGUUAAUUAUAGUGGUAUGAAUCAAGUUUUAGUCUCUAGCCAGGUUCACUCUGAAGUCUUUUAUGAGGCCAAGGCUCUUUAGCCUGUAUUCACGCAUAGUCGAAAUGGCUAAACAACUCAGUGAAAACGAUCAGCCAGUUUCAGUCCUAGCCCACUGAUACAUAUCACCGAUAUUGGGUGCAGUGUAAGCACAGAAAGAGUGUCCAUAUUGCUUGUGAAAUAUUAUGGUUUCAAAAAAUAAGUAAUUAUAUUUUGGAAGAAAUUUUAGGACUUUGUGCCUCUAUCCAUGCUAGAAAAUGCCAGCUUAUAAUAGAACUUUACUGGGUUCAUCAUUUCAAUACCUUUUUUAAAUUUCAUAUUUAAACUAUUUGUAUAUUGGCCUCCUAAUACAUAAUAAAACACUGAAAAGAGUUACUUCUGUAAUAUAAAGGUUUUUAAAAAAAUGUUUAUUUAUUUUUGAGAGAGAGAGCAUCCAUGCAUACACAGGGAAGGAGCAGAGAGAGAGAGGGAGAGAGAGAAUCCCAAGCAGGCUCCAUGCUGUCAGUGCUAGUGCCCGAUGCAGGGCUCAAACCCAUCAACCGUGAGAUCAUGACCUGAGCCAAAAUCAAGAGUCAGACGUUUUACUGAGCCACCCAGGUGCCUGUAUAAUAUAAAGUUUUGUGUACAUUUUAUAAAUCUGUCAUAGGCAAUCCUGUCCUAUAAAGUGGGUAUUACACUUGGUCCACAUCAAUGCAGUAAUAAAUCUAAAUGUAGAUUACUUAGAAAAUAGUUAAUGUGGCAUUACACUAAUUCCUGCUUUCUUGAUAAAGAAUAGAAAUUUGUAUGGGAAAGUGAUGUAUUUUAUUUCAGGAGAAAGAGGAUAUAUUUGGGGAAACAGUUAAAUAAUGGAAGAUAAUAAUAAAUAUUACUAAGUUUGAAGCCA